Molecule: non-coding RNA, 23 nt
Filed under: Arabidopsis thaliana (thale cress)
Lineage: Eukaryota; Viridiplantae; Streptophyta; Magnoliopsida; Brassicales; Brassicaceae
Source: RNAcentral
AAAGGUAUCACAUGCCAAGUUUG